AUUAGAUACCCGCGUAGUCCUAGCCGUAAACGAUACUCGCUAGGUGUCGGCCACGGUGCGACCGUUGUCGGUGCCGUAAGGGAAGCCGUGAAGCGAGCCACCGUGGGAAGUACGGCCGCAAGGCUAGAAACUUAAAGGAAUUGGCGGGGGAGCACAACAACGGGUGGAGCUUGCAGUUUAAUUGGAUUCAACGCCGGAAAUCUUACCGGGACCGACAGCAACAUGAAGGCCAAGCUGAAGACUUUGCCGGAUUAGCUG
Molecule: ribosomal RNA, 258 nt
Filed under: uncultured archaeon
Lineage: Archaea
Description: partial 16S ribosomal RNA
Rfam family: Archaeal small subunit ribosomal RNA
Source: RNAcentral